AGGUUUAUUGCCUGGCUAUAGACAGCCCGAGAAAGAAAGUUAGCUUCCCACCCCCGGCAGCUGCAGUGAUUGGAAAACGAGCCUGAGCCUUUUCACCGAAAAGAAUAUAUCAUUAUCCGUUGGGUUCGCCCUACUUCCCUGUUAAGAAUCACCUGAAGUGCCUAAAAAUCCGCGAGUUUCAGGGCUUUUCCCUGGAAAUAAUGAUUUAGAACGUCCUGGGGGAGGGCCUAGGAGUCUGUGGGUUUAAUAAGCACCUCCAGGAUUUGUGUCUUCGGACAUGAUUCGUGCUUGUGGACAAAACUGACCUCGGAGCUGAGGUGAGUGACAAACCAAAGUUGCCAGGCCUGAGUAGGGUCCUCGUGCCCAGAGGAGAAAGAGAAAAAACAAAGGAACUCUUUUCACUAAAUUCACCAGCUAUCUUCUGAUCCAGUUAAUUAACUGGGAAAACUAAAUUAAACCCUAACGCCUUAUUCAUCUUUGAGGGGACCUGUGAUGUCUCUGAGCACUAAUGGCAGGGAGGUGGGCAGUGCUGGGCUGGAACAUCUCCCAUGGACAGCCAAGCAGCAUUCUGUUAAUCGUGGCUAUUAAACUGCUUUCUUGGGAGUUGUUUUUGAUCCAUGUGGAAUAGAUUAAGAGUCUGUUUUGAAUCCCCUAGAGUUUCCUGUGGAGCAUAAUUAGAGAUGCAUUGGAAUAGGAAUUCAGGUCAACACUUUAAUGAGAUGUCUGAAGAGUAUGGCCCAGCAAGGGGGAGGGUAGAGGGAGUGGAGUGGUGGAGAUGAGGAAGGGACAUUGUCAGGAUGAGGGGGCAAAAGAAUGAAGAUUUUUGUGAGGAGGUGAAUGAAAGACAAGGAACCACAGAGGAGAGAGAAAUGGAGAGUGAGAGAAGCAAGGAAAUGAGAAUCAAGCAUUGAAAAAUCCUGGAACUUUCAAUAUUUAUGUAGCCAAAGUGUCUCUCUUGCUCACUCACUUGCUUGCUUGUGUACCACUAAUUGAGCAACUACUAUGGGCCAGAUGCUCUGGAAAAUGUUGUUCUGAAGAGGAGUACUAAUCUUCACCAGUGGUGCACCUAGCUGUAUUUUGCACAUUAGGAAACAGACCCAGAGGCACACCUCCCAGAUGCAUCUUCCUCAUGGGGUUGUCGCAGGGUUUAAGAAAAUGAACUCAUAUAAAGGGCUCAGAAUAGUGUCUGGAUCACAGAACUCUGAAGAAUUUAUGUCAGUGAUUCUGAAGUGAGAAUGGAACAUGGAUCCAACCCCUCUAAGGCAGAAGAGAUGUGAGCAGAUUACCUUCUCUGUCCUUAAAAGGAGUGGCCCUGCAUUCCCUGAGAGGGCAUAGCUGGGGCAGUCAUCUGGACCCACCAGACAGGAGCUGAAGCUUGAUAAAAGGUGCCUGGUUCCAGUGACUAUGGAGCAGCCUGCCAGCACUAGAGGAGUCACAGAGAUGUCUAGAUGAGUCACAGAGACAUUUACAUGACAGAAAAAUAAACAACUAUGUUGUUUAAGCCAUUAUUAGUCAGUCUUUCAGUU
RNAcentral lists this long non-coding RNA (1526 nucleotides) under Homo sapiens (human). RNAcentral's name for it is "HSALNT0334163". Lineage: Eukaryota; Metazoa; Chordata; Mammalia; Primates; Hominidae. The record is from RNAcentral.